CAAGCACAGGCAGUGACGCCACCAGGCAUACUGGAGGGAGUGGAGGCUGGAGGUGACGAGUGGCAACCGACGACGAAAGUCGGAACUCGCAAGUGGAGAUAGUACUACUGCACCACUUCACAACAUCGAUCGCUGAGGUUUUAAUGGGUGGAUGGAUGCGUGCAUCGAAAAAUUCCGUUCGAGGAAGAAUCGAUCCGGUCGCGGGUCGUCCGUCGUCCCCCUGAAGUCUCAACAGAUUUGUUAAUGGUGUAGGGGGACGGCUAACAGUAGUAUGGAGUAUCGAUUCUUUUUUAAAAAAAAAAAAAGGC
Molecule: long non-coding RNA, 308 nt
Filed under: Sorghum bicolor (sorghum)
Lineage: Eukaryota; Viridiplantae; Streptophyta; Magnoliopsida; Poales; Poaceae
Description: long non-coding RNA (SBIC_LNC003724)
Source: RNAcentral